Mytilus californianus (California mussel) is the source of this 304-nucleotide long non-coding RNA. RefSeq lists it as uncharacterized. NCBI's taxonomy places the organism in Eukaryota, Metazoa, Mollusca, Bivalvia, Mytilida, Mytilidae. The transcript has 3 exons. The record is from RefSeq and is a predicted model, not a curated record.
CUUUACUUUAUGAUACACGUAUGAGAUAUAUAGGUUUACUUUUAGGUCAGAGAAGUUGAUUGAGGUGACUACUACGACUUCUUUACUUUAUGAUACACGUAUGAGAUAUAUAGGUUUACUUUUAGGUCAGAGAAGUUGAUUGAGGUGACUACUACGACUUCUUUACUUUAUGAUACACGUAUGAGAUAUAUAGGUUUACUUUUAGGUCAGAGAAGUUGAUUGAGGUGACUACUACGACUUCUUUACUUUAUGAUACACGUAUGAGAUAUAUAGGUUUACUUUUAGGUCAGAGAAGCUGAUUGAU